This 666-nucleotide long non-coding RNA is filed under the name Nicotiana benthamiana. RNAcentral's name for it is "long non-coding RNA (NBEN_LNC005867)". The record is from RNAcentral. Lineage: Eukaryota; Viridiplantae; Streptophyta; Magnoliopsida; Solanales; Solanaceae.
UAGCACAUCCAGCAGCUCCCAUACUUUCCCCCAUUUCUCUUAAAAUUUUUUAAAUCCUUCAGAGACCAAUCAGUUCCACCUCAUCUCCUUCGUCAUCUUUAUCUCUUCAUUCUAUGAAAAAGAAAGCCCUAAUUUACCAUGGAUAUGACGAUUCAGCUCCCCAAAUUCCACCAAAACAAUCCCAUGGAACCACUAGAGCACCCUCUUACUGAAUCCAUAAACCACUUCCCUCAAAUCCUCCUUAAAUCUCUUGAAUCUUGAAUCCAAAAUUAGAAUCUCUAAGAACCAAGUCCAAAUCCAAGCAUGUAAGGUGAUUGCUCCAGUCGUCUUAAGAGUUUAAAGUUGAUUUUGUCGUGAAAUAGUAUUUUUUGCUUGUUCUUGACAAAGAAAAAGUGGUUGAUUAUUUGGCGAUGAAAUCAGAAAGUCAAGAUUGAAGUCAAGUGCUGUGAGGUAAGUUCUCCUUCUAUUCGAAUCAUUCUGAUAUUCCGGCUUCUAUUCUUCUCCUUUACUACUUUUUUCGGACAAUUCAGCCAGAAUUCAAGUAAGAUUUUUACAAUUUCCUAAUAGUCAUUUGUUACUCUCUAGUCUAUCAUUCAAUUCUAUUAUGGUCAGAUCAUGAUUAUUGUCUUAGUUUUAUAUCAUGUUUUAUCACUAGUUAAUAACUUU